Molecule: long non-coding RNA, 483 nt
Filed under: Brassica napus (rape)
Lineage: Eukaryota; Viridiplantae; Streptophyta; Magnoliopsida; Brassicales; Brassicaceae
Description: long non-coding RNA (BNAP_LNC011780)
Source: RNAcentral
GAGUUGUGACAUUGGUAUGCUGUGAGGGCUUCAAAUGGUUUUUAUGUUGUUUUCUUUUACAAAAAUUUAAUCUCAUAUUUGGUGCAUUGUGCUUUGUAAUAUUUCGGGUUCGGAAUGAUUGGGUUGUGGAUAACUAUUUUGUGUAUGUUAUAAGAAUAAUUAGUCUUUAUGUUGAAAUCUUAAUCUUUCGACACGCUAAUGGAGUGGAAGUGGUGAUUAUUUGAAGCUGCAUUUUUUAUUAAACUUAGAAUGUUAUAUUGAAUGCGAAGAAGGUAGUAAAGCAAAGUUAAUCAAAUAAGAAAACAUUGACACUCAAAAUUAUAAAUAUCAUAUUAGUUCUAGAACAUUUCUUUUAAUAUAGAGACGCCAUUUAAGGAACAUUUGAUCUAUCUCCAGCAUUUGUCAGCUCGAGACAUGUCGGUUUGCCGUUCAUGACUAUACAUAAAUUUCAUGCAUUCUUCAUAUUCUCAUGUUCAUAGCAAA